CACCUUGAUAUUUCUCAGCCUUCUGUGCAGCUCGGUAGUCUCAUGGCUGAGUUCCUAUCAAUGGUGUGUGAGAGGAAGUAACAAGUUCCACUUUCUGGUUUAAGUCUUAUGACAUCACAAACACUUCCAGAACACUCUUUUCCCCCCUUGCUGUUGGCUGGAAUUGAGAUCAAACAGUGAUGCGGAGUGGACCACACAGACAAAAUGCUAUAGGAUGGGGAUUGUAAAGAGCAUACAUUAAAGUCUCUCCUGAGAGCUUUAAAAUAUGCCAUGCUCAGGCCACAACACAGACAAAUUAAAUCAGAACCUCUGGGGGUGAGGACGGAUGGCAAGAAACACAGCCCUCCCUCAGGACCAGGGGAAAUUGGCUCUGUCACUGAGCAGACUCCAUGGAGGUCCCCAGAGAGGAGGUGGAGACCCUUUUGAGACUUCGCUGACUCUCCUUGCAGAAAGAAUUUUCAAGACGCAUGUGGAGGGUUACGAGGUCCAUCCUGUAAAGGCCCCACCACCCUUCACUCCAUGCUGAGGACCAGGCCUGCAACACUGGAACUCCUGGUGGACAAAACGCAUCACAACUACACCAAUUACCAAAAGCUGAGGCAGGAGGAUCGCAAGUUUGAGUACAGUCUGGGCUACUCGAGGACAAUUCCCUAAGGAAUGACGGACCAACAAGAUGAAAAGUAGCAGGAUCCUGGAAGGACUGGAACAGCUGCCAACUGGACUCUCAUCACAGACUUGGCGAAAGACUUGGGAAUUAUCCGUCCUCUGUUGGAGGAGGAGCUCUCUGCCCAAGCAUCCUAAACCUUCACCCUCUAUAAUAGGCCAUUCAUUUAAGGUGCACAAUGACCCAGAGAGUUGGCUACUAUUAUUAUUCCUGUUUCACAUGUAAGGUUACUGAGGCUCAGAGAAGGCUGAAUAAUUUGCCCAAAUCUAUCGCUGAACCGCCCUAAAUGGACCCAAUCUUACAAGCUUGCUUGGUGCUUGGAUGGGAGGCUGCUUAUCACUGCCAGAAGCCCGAGGCUUUACAAUAAUAAUAAAUUCACCCACAAUUCCCAAACCAUGUGGUGCAAACAACAUCAGAAGCCAGAUUCCUUCAGCUCUAAAGAACACACACAAGUUCUGACUCACAAGUUCCAGGGCUGAGGCUGAGAAUCUGCAUUUGUAUAAAGCUCCUCUGUUACAGUUUGGAUUAAAAAUAAAAUGUGCCCAC
RNAcentral lists this long non-coding RNA (1210 nucleotides) under Heterocephalus glaber (naked mole-rat). RNAcentral describes it as "lncRNA (ENSHGLG00000030795.2)". The record is from RNAcentral. Lineage: Eukaryota; Metazoa; Chordata; Mammalia; Rodentia; Bathyergidae.